This is an RNA transcript of Sapajus apella (tufted capuchin), 443 nucleotides long. It is a transcript of the gene named E3 ubiquitin-protein ligase RNF181 pseudogene, with no coding region annotated. The transcript has a single exon. Lineage: Eukaryota; Metazoa; Chordata; Mammalia; Primates; Cebidae. The record is from RefSeq and is a predicted model, not a curated record.
UCACUUUUCAAUAGGAUGGACUUUGAAGACUUGGGGUUGGUAGUAGAUUGGGACCACCACCUGCCUCCACCAGCUGCCAAGACUGUGGUUGAGAACCUCCCCAGGACGGUCAUCAAAGGCUCUCAGGCUGAGCUCAAGUGCCCUGCAUGUCUUUUGGCAUUUGAGGAGGAGGAGACUGCCAUUGAGAUGCCUUGCCAUCACCUUUUCCAUUCCAGCUGCAUUCUGCCCUGGCUAAGCAAGACAAAUUCUUGUCCCUUGUGCCGCCACGAGCUGCCCACUGAUGAUGACACCCAUGAGGAACACAGACGAAAUAAGGCUCGAAAAUAGCAGCAGCAGCACCGACUGGAGAACCUCCAUGGAGCCAUGUACAAGUGAGGAGGCUGGGGCUGAGCGCCGGCCUUCUGCGUCUUCCUUGCAAACCUUGAAUCCUUAUUAAAGGUUUC